Camellia sinensis is the source of this 332-nucleotide non-coding RNA. The record is from RefSeq and is a predicted model, not a curated record. NCBI's taxonomy places the organism in Eukaryota, Viridiplantae, Streptophyta, Magnoliopsida, Ericales, Theaceae.
ACUGAUGCCAUUUCUCUUAGCCAUAAUGUAUAUAUAUAUAUAUUUUUCUACAAUGAUUGCCGUUGGAAGGUGUGGUAACCUUCUUUGGCCGGGUUGCAAUACUGAUAGACCAGAAUACACAGGCAUUCCACAUGUUCAUUACUGCUCUUCUUCAGCUGUUGGAUCGAUCGGGAUUACUAUAUGGAGAGCUUGCUAGAUUUGUGUUGAGACUGCUGGGAAUUAGAACAAAGCCUAAAAAGGUUCAGCCACUCCUGAUGAUGGUUUAUGAGACUGAUUUAUGCCACUGAGACUCAAAUAUGUGUUCCAUUAGUUUAAUGGCAAAGCGUUGAUGU